This 403-nucleotide ribosomal RNA is filed under the name Verrucomicrobiota bacterium. RNAcentral describes it as "Verrucomicrobia bacterium partial 16S ribosomal RNA". It matches the Rfam family "Bacterial small subunit ribosomal RNA", at positions 355 to 776 of the family's 1533-position model. Lineage: Bacteria; Pseudomonadati; Verrucomicrobiota. The record is from RNAcentral.
UGGGGAAUAUUGCACAAUGGGCGCAAGCCUGAUGCAGCAACGCCGCGUGAACGAUGAAGGUCUUCGGAUCGUAAAGUUCUGUUGCAGGGGAAGAUAAUGACGGUACCCUGUGAGGAAGCCCCGGCUAACUACGUGCCAGCAGCCGCGGUAAUACGUAGGGGGCUAGCGUUAUCCGGAUUUACUGGGCGUAAAGGGUGCGUAGGUGGUCCUUCAAGUCGGUGGUUAAAGGCUACGGCUCAACCGUAGUAAGCCGCCGAAACUGGAGGACUUGAGUGCAGGAGAGGAAGGUGGAAUUCCCAGUGUAGCGGUGAAAGGCGUAGAUAUUGGGAGGAACACCAGUAGCGAAGGCGGCUUUCUGGACUGCAACUGACACUGGGGCACGAAAGCGUGGGUAGCAAACAGG